GGUUCAGGCGACAUCCUCCUCCUCCUCCCUGAGGAUGUCGCCGCACCAACACGGAAGCCCUCUCCUCCUCCCUUGGGCUUCGUGUCAAGGCGGCGACCCCCUCCUCCUCCCUGGGGUCGCCGCACUUU
This 128-nucleotide non-coding RNA is filed under the name Paracoccus aminophilus JCM 7686. RNAcentral describes it as "Alphaproteobacterial ar14". It matches the Rfam family "Alphaproteobacterial ar14". From Rfam's summary of the family: Smr14C2 was renamed NfeR1 (Nodule Formation Efficiency RNA) highly expressed in salt stress and during the symbiotic interaction on legume roots. Lineage: Bacteria; Pseudomonadati; Pseudomonadota; Alphaproteobacteria; Rhodobacterales; Paracoccaceae. The record is from Rfam by way of RNAcentral.